GCUCCUCACACAGGCAGCCAGUGGUGGCAGCUGGUAGCACCUGAGGCUACUCCUAAGCUUUAAUGAUCACUGGCCUUUGGCAUGACCCAAGCACUGUUCACUGCCCGCUUGCCAAAAAUGUCAAGGAUCUAAACUGUGUUCGCUUUAUGGCCAACGACAGUCCGGGGGUUUUCCUGAUUGACAAAGCCCCGGAGGAGACACUUCGCGGGGCGUAGUGCUGAUCGCUUAUUCGCCCUCUGGGAACCUGGAGAAGCAGCUCCGCCCUGUGGACAUAAAUCAUUAUGACAGGAGUUUGUGGUUGUUGUGGGGCACUCAGGCCCAGAUACAAACGACUCGUUGACAACAUUUUCCCAGAAGACCCAGAAGACGGGUUAGUCAAAGCCAACAUGGAGAAGCUGACAUUCUACGCCCUGUCAGCUCCGGAGAAACUGGACCGUAUCGGGGCGUACCUGUCCGAGAGACUGUCCAGGGACGUGGCCCGGCACAGAUAUGGAUAUGUGUGCAUAGCCAUGGAGGCUCUGGACCAGCUGCUAAUGGCCUGUCACUGCCAGAGCAUCAACUUGUUUGUGGAAAGUUUCCUCAAAAUGGUUCGAAAGCUUUUAGAGUCAGACAAACCCAAUCUGCAAAUCCUGGGAACCAAUUCAUUUGUGAAGUUUGCCAACAUAGAAGAGGACACACCUUCGUACCACCGCAGUUAUGAUUUCUUUGUGUCACGCUUCAGUGAAAUGUGUCACUCCAGCUAUGAGGACCCUGAUAUCCGCACAAACAUUCGAAUGGCGGGUAUCAGAGGUCUACAAGGCGUAGUGAGGAAGACGGUGAAUGAUGAACUUCAGGCUAAUAUCUGGGACCCACAGCACAUGGACAAAAUAGUGCCAUCUCUUCUUUUCAACCUGCAGAGUGGAGAGCGCACAGAGAGCCGCUCCCCCUCUCCACUGCAGGCGUCCGAGAAGGAGAAGGAAAGCCCGGUGGAGCUUACAGAACGUUGCUUCAGAGAGUUACUGGGACGGGCUGCGUAUGGCAACAUCAAGAACGCUGUCAACCCUGUGCUCACGCACUUGGAUAAUCACUGUCUAUGGGAGGGGAAGACAUUUGCAGUGCGCUGCUUUAAAAUAAUCAUGUACUCUAUCCAGUCACAGCAUUCACACUUGGUCAUUCAGCAGCUCCUGGGUCACCUGGACGCCAACAGUAAGAACUCUGCGACGGUGCGGGCUGGGAUCGUGGAGGUUCUACUGGAGGCCGCUGCCAUCGCUGCUAGUGGCUCUGUGGGGCCCACCGUGCUGGAAGUCUUUAACACCCUUCUGAGGCAGCUGCGUCUCAGUGUGGAUUAUGAACUGACCGGGACAUAUGACGGCAGCACCAACAUCGGCACCAAGAUCAUCAAAGCUCACGAGGAGAGGCAGCUCCAGGAGGCAGUCAUUCGGACCAUUGGUUCUUUUGCCAAUACAUUACCAACUUACCAGAGGUCAGAGGUUAUGCUCUUCAUUUUGGGAAAGAUUCCUGGACUUCACCCUACACUGCCCCCUUCUGGCUCUGGACCCGAUGGCACUAGAAUGAUUCAGGUUAUGUUGCUCAAGUCUUUAGUGCAGGUAACAGCAGGUUAUGAGACCACCAACAUGCUAACCGCUAUGCCCAGCUCGUUCCUGGAGCCACUGCUGUCCCUAUCUCUCACUGAGGACCCUGAGGUACGUCUGUUGGUGCUGCAAAUUCUGCUUAGCCUCAUCGACAGGCACGAUAACAGGCCCAAGUUCUCCAAUGUCAGUAUCAUCUCUGACAUCUCGGUGCUCAAACUCAAAGUGGACAAGUGUUCCCGACAGGACAACUUGUUCAUGAAAAAGCAUGGGCAGCAGCUUUACCGACACAUCUACUUGGGCUGUAAAGAGCAGAGCAGCGGACGGGAGCAUUACCAGACCCUCUUCACUCUGCUGGCUCUGCUUAGUGUGGAGCUGGCCAACGAGGAGGUCGUAGUGGACCUUAUUCGCCUCUCACUCGCCUUACAGGACCUAGCUCUGUCCAAUGACGAGGGGCUGCCUGUUUAUAACCGCUGUGCUGUUCAUGCCCUUGUGGCCGCCUACCUCAACCUCAUCUGUCAGCUCACCACUGUUCCCACUUUCUGCCAACACAUACAUGAGGUGAUUGAGGUGAGGCAAAAGGAAAGCUCCCAUCUCUUACCAGAGGACGUAUUCAUCGACAAGCCAAAACUGCCCUCUUCACUGGAGAAAGUGGAAGGCGAUGUUUUGUUCCUUCAAUCCAAAAUCACUGAGGUCCUCGGAGGCAGUGGCUACAACACAGAGCGGCUGGGUACUCCUUAUGUGCCGCAGUACACAGAUGAGGACCGUCUGUCAAAGAGGAAGAGUAUUGGGGAAACCAUCUCACUGCAGGUUGAAGUGGAGUCUCGAAAUAGUCCAGAGAAAGAAGAGAGAACACCAGCAGAAGAAAUCACAUUUGAAACACUCAAGAAUGCUAUUGUGGACAGUGUUGGGAUGGAAGAGCAGGAAAGGGAGCGCCGGAGGCAAGUUGUGGAGAAGUUUCAGAAAGCUCCUUUUGAAGAGAUAGCGGCUCACUGCGGUGCCAGGGCCAUGAUGCUGCAAAGCAAACUUAACCAGAUCUUUGAGAUUACAAUCAGACCACCUCCAAGUCCAUCUGGAACCAUUUCAUCGGGUUAUGGCCAAACACAGAGUCGUUCCAUUCCCAUAUAUGAAAUGAAGUUCCCUGACCUUUGUGUGUACUAGACGAAAAAACAUCCAAAGUAUUUGAUCUCCACGGCAAAGAGAUAAGCCCAGGAAAACAAUAGUGUCACCGAGACAGGGCAGUGGUUGUUACAACUGUAUUUUGUUAAUAAUUUACUUAAUCUAAUUUUCUUAAAUUCAGUUUUGUAAUUGGUACACUGUGUAAAAUAUGUGAAGCAUUUAUUUAUUUUAACUGCUAUACGAUUCGACUUGCUUUUAAAAAAUAUAUAUAUAUAUAUAUCUUAAAUUUCAAAUGUUAUCAUCAAUUUAACUCAUUCUAAUUUAAAUAAAUACAUGCUUGAAAUAUUUUACCCUAAUUAUUAAAUAAGUAUUUUUAAUAGUUUACCCUAAUUAUAAGUAUUUUUAAUAGUUUACCCUAAUUAUAAGUAUUUUUAAUAGUUUACCCUAAUUAUUAAAUAACUUUUUUUUUACUACAACCAUAUUUUUUACAAAGUAAAUUUUACUUUUAGCUUUUACUAUGGAUCGGACCUGGACGACUGAGGGUUUACACAUACGACAUAAACAACAAACCCUUUUAAUACCUGAACAUUUUAGGAUUUACUUUUUUCAUUUAAUUUCUCUUUAUCUUUUACCAUUUUUAAUUGACUGAAGACAGCAUGCCCUGUAGACAGAAAGUAUUGUAAGCACUGAUCGUGUUUUUCUAGUAUCUGAAAAGACGCCAUACUAUGUCUCAAAUACCUUUUUAUGUCGCAGUGUUUGUACUUUUUUACGUUUUUAUAUGUUUUGAUGUGUUCAUGUAUUUCUCUGCACUGUGCAUUAAUUUCAAGCUCGGGCACCUGUUUUUAAGUCUUAACUUUAUUAUUUGCCUUUUAGACUCAUUCAGAAGUGCUUUCAUUAAUAUGUUUUUCUUUGCCUUCAUAGUUACUACAAGUUACAGUUGAAAGUUACUUAUUUUCCCAUUUCCAUAUAAAUGUGUAUAUACAAAGAAAUAUAUGAAUUUUAGAGCUGAUGUACAGAGAUGUUUUGCGUGUAUAUGCGUAUUGUAUAUCAACUAUAAUUUUAGACUGCCACUGCAUUAAGUUUUUUUAAAUUUAAAUUUAUUGAAAUCAAACCAGCAACCAAUGACAUGAUCAAAUUUAGACAAAGAUAAGAUUAGUUGUUUGAAAAGCACAGAUCGACACGUCAUCUCCUGCUUAAAUGCUUGUUUUCUAUAAAAGGCUAUCUCCGUAGUGUGAGUUCAGGUCUAUGCACUAUCAUUUUGACCUGUAGAGUUACGAUUAUUACACACUGGAUUAACUUUGCACUCUCUCCUUCUUAUGCCAAACUGCUGCUGCAGCUUCAGACAGUGCAUUGUUCUGCAGAUUCAGGCCUAAAGCCAUUUAUUUGUGUGUCUCAUUCCACACACACACUCACACAGGUAUGAAAUCUAAGUAUGAUGGCAAUAAUUUAGCCUGUCUUUUGUAUAGAAGUAGUGGACAUUGUCUAAAAUGUAUCUUUUUUGUAUGCUGGUCAUGAUCAAAGAUUCUUCUGUGAAAUACUGCUUUGGCUGUGACAUUUGAAGUAAGUUAAAUGAUCUGGUGUGUCCCUGAUAUCAUGUCCUUUAUAACACUUUUGUUUUGUUUUGUUUUUUACAUGUUUGUAUUUGUCAUGUGCGAUGUCCUCUGUCAGUGCAGGUGUGUGUCCGAUUGUGGAUGGUUUGUCCAAAUGUGUCAAAAUCCAACUACACUUUAAAAAUUGUUUUUCAUGUGACCCAGGACCAAGUGAACAAAGAGCAUUGUGCAACCUAACUUUGCAAUCACUUAUGUUUGCUCAAAAAUCUAACAACUUGUCAAUAAAUCUGUGUUUCUGCCUGUUGUCAUUGCAUAGUGUAAUGUAAUGGUGAGAGGUUAAUCCUUCCUUAUUUUGUCAUCACAAGUGCAAACUACAAACCAGUGUCUGUUAUGUGAUUUAGGUCAUACUUCUGUGAAAUUUGCACUUUAAAAGCUGGAUACACUUCUGACAAAGGCAGCUUUGAUGAGGAGAAAAUGCCUUAUGAGUGUCAUACUUGACUGUGCAUGCUCUGUUGCCCUGUUGAACAAUAAAUGGAUAAGAUUGA
RNA transcript from Periophthalmus magnuspinnatus, 4782 nucleotides. It is a transcript of the gene named protein EFR3 homolog B, with no coding region annotated. The transcript is spliced from 25 exons. The record is from RefSeq and is a predicted model, not a curated record. Lineage: Eukaryota; Metazoa; Chordata; Actinopteri; Gobiiformes; Gobiidae.